GAUGAAGAACGUAGCGAAAUGCGAUACUUGGUGUGAAUUGCAGAAUCCCGUGAACCAUCGAGUCUUUGAACGCAAGUUGCGCCCGAAGCCAUUAGGCCGAGGGCACGCCUGCCUGGGUGUCACACGUCGUUGCCCCCCCAUCUACUCCUUCGGGAUUGCGGGGGGCGGAUGAUGGCCUCCCGUGCGCCUCGUCGCGCGGUUGGCAUAAAUGCCAAGUCCUCGGCGACGCACGCCACGACACUCGGUGGUUGCGAAACCUCGGUUGCCCGUCGUGUGCGGUCGUCGCGCAUCGAGGGCUCGAAAAAAUUGCCGGGCUCCGGCUCGGCUUUCAACGCGACCCCAGGUCAGGCGGGGUUACCCGCUGAAUUUAAGCAUAUCAAUAAGCGGAGGA
This 391-nucleotide unclassified non-coding RNA is filed under the name soil metagenome. RNAcentral describes it as "partial contains 5.8S ribosomal RNA, internal transcribed spacer 2, and large subunit ribosomal RNA". The stretch from base 1 to 122 matches the Rfam family "5.8S ribosomal RNA", at positions 35 to 154 of the family's 154-position model. The record is from RNAcentral.